This 504-nucleotide ribosomal RNA is filed under the name Bombus terrestris lusitanicus. Its description in RNAcentral is "partial large subunit ribosomal RNA". The stretch from base 345 to 503 matches the Rfam family "Bacterial large subunit ribosomal RNA", at positions 2473 to 2632 of the family's 2925-position model. The record is from RNAcentral. RNAcentral also lists the same sequence under 1 other name. Lineage: Eukaryota; Metazoa; Arthropoda; Insecta; Hymenoptera; Apidae.
AUGAUUUUAAAUAAUUAAAUGGCUGCGGUAUAAUUGACUGUACAAAGGUAGCAUAAUCAAUUGUUUUUUAAUUAAAAACUGGAAUGAAAGAGUUAAUGAGAUAUACACUGUCUCAUAUAUAUUAAAUUAAUUUAAAUUUUUAGUUAAAAUGCUAAAAUUAGUUUAUGGGACGAUAAGACCCUAUAGAAUUUUAUAUUAAUAUUUUAAUUAUAAUUUUAUUAUUGAAUAUUAAUAUUUUGUUGGGAGGAUAGGUAAAUUUAUUAAACUUUAUUUUAAAUAUUAACUUUAAUUAAAGAAUAUAUUUUGAUCUUUUAGUAAAAAUGAAAAGAGUAAAUUACCUUAGGGAUAACAGCGUAAUAUCUUUUUAAAGAUCUUAUUGAAAAAGAUGAUUGCGACCUCGAUGUUGAAUUAAGAUAAAUUUUAAAUGAAGAAAUUUAAUAAUUAAGUCUGUUCGACUUUUAAAAUCUUACAUGAUUUGAGUUCAAAUCGACGUGAGUCAGAUUG